GAAUUCACUAGUGAUUUCUGGUUGAUCCUGCCAGACCCGACUGCUAUCAGAGUGGGACUAAGCCAUGCGAGUCGACGUAGCAAUACGUGGCGAACGGCUCAGUAACACGUAGUCAACAUGCCCAGGGGACGUGGAUAACCUCGGGAAACUGAGAAUAAACCACGAUAGGUCACGAUUUCUGGAAUGGAUCUUGGCUUAAAUCUACAUGGCCCCUGGAUUGGACUGCGGCCGAUCAGGCUGUUGGUGAGGUAAUGGCCCACCAAACCUAUAACCGGUACGGGCUCUGAGAGGAGGAGCCCGGAGAUGGGCACUGAGACAAGGGCCCAGGCCCUAUGGGGCGCAGCAGGCGCGAAACCUCUGCAAUAGGCGAAAGCCUGGCAGGGUUACUCUGAGUGAUUUCCGCUAAGGGGAUCUUUUGGCACCUCUAAAAAUGGUGCAGAAUAAGGGGUGGGCAAGUCUGGUGUCAGCCGCCGCGGUAAUACCAGCACCCCGAGUGGUCGGGACGAUUAUUGGGCCUAAAGCAUCCGUAGCCGGUUCUGCAAGUCUUCCGUUAAAUCCAGCCGCUCAACGGAUGGGCCGCGGAGGAUACUAUAGGACUAGGAGGCGGGAGAGGCAAGCGGUACUCAGUGGGUAGGGGUAAAAUCCUUUGAUCCAUUGAAGACCACCAGUGGCGAAGGCGGCUUGCCAGAACGCGCUCGACGGUGAGGGAUGAAAGCUGGGGGAGCAAACCGGAUUAGAUACCCGGGUAGUCCCAGCUGUAAACGAUGCAGACUCGGUGAUGGGCUAGCCUUGUGCCAGCCCAGUGCCGCAGGGAAGCCGUUAAGUCUGCCGCCUGGGGAGUACGGUCGCAAGACUGAAACUUAAAGGAAUUGGCGGGGGAGCACCACAAGGGGUGAAGCCUGCGGUUCAAUUGGACUCAACGCCGGAAAUCGAAUUCCCGCGGCC
RNAcentral lists this ribosomal RNA (945 nucleotides) under uncultured archaeon. Its description in RNAcentral is "bacterial SSU rRNA". It matches the Rfam family "Archaeal small subunit ribosomal RNA", at positions 1 to 940 of the family's 1478-position model. The record is from RNAcentral.